UGCUGACAGCUUUUGAAAGAUUUAACAACUGGCAGCAAGAAAAACUUCCAUAGAAUCUCUUCUCUGAAAUUUUUUCUCCUGGAAAAAAGGGCAUCACUUAGCAGUACCAGGACAAGAAGCAGAAUUCUUUGGAAUUACAGAAAGAGAAAUGAAGAAAAAUGUGAAUCCCAGUAUGUGAAAAACAUCGGCCUCGCACAAAUAUGUGGUUGGAAAUAAGAUGAUCUCUCAGACCUGCUGGAAAGGUUCUCACAGCAUUACUUUGAGGACCACUGCUGAUGAGUUAAAUUGCUUUUCAAGGUAAUAUCAAAUUGUUUUAAAAAGUGAUUGUGUCAGUUUAUACCCCUACUUACAGUGUAUAAAUGUUCUUAU
Molecule: long non-coding RNA, 369 nt
Filed under: Pan paniscus (pygmy chimpanzee)
Lineage: Eukaryota; Metazoa; Chordata; Mammalia; Primates; Hominidae
Description: lncRNA (ENSPPAG00000044805.1)
Source: RNAcentral